This 72-nucleotide transfer RNA is filed under the name Candidatus Zixiibacteriota bacterium. RNAcentral's name for it is "tRNA-Gly". It matches the Rfam family "tRNA". Rfam says of the family: Transfer RNA (tRNA) molecules are approximately 80 nucleotides in length. Their secondary structure includes four short double-helical elements and three loops (D, anti-codon, and T loops). Further hydrogen bonds mediate the characteristic L-shaped molecular structure. tRNAs have two regions of fundamental functional importance: the anti-codon, which is responsible for specific mRNA codon recognition, and the 3' end, to which the tRNAs corresponding amino acid is attached (by aminoacyl-tRNA synthetases). tRNAs cope with the degeneracy of the genetic code in two manners: having more than one tRNA (with a specific anti-codon) for a particular amino acid; and 'wobble' base-pairing, i.e. permitting non-standard base-pairing at the 3rd anti-codon position. Lineage: Bacteria; Pseudomonadati; Candidatus Zixiibacteriota. RNAcentral also lists the same sequence under 1 other name. The record is from RNAcentral.
GCACCGGUAAUUCAGUGGUAGAAUGCAAGCUUCCCAAGCUUGACGUCGCGGGUUCGAGUCCCGUCCGGUGCU